This 1200-nucleotide ribosomal RNA is filed under the name Megadelphax sordidulus. RNAcentral describes it as "SSU rRNA". It matches the Rfam family "Eukaryotic small subunit ribosomal RNA", at positions 723 to 1773 of the family's 1831-position model. Lineage: Eukaryota; Metazoa; Arthropoda; Insecta; Hemiptera; Delphacidae. The record is from RNAcentral.
CUGUGUCCUUCGACGCCGGUUCACCGCCUGUCGGUGCCAACUGGCGUUUUGCGGGACGUCCUGUCGGUGGUGCGUCUGGAAUCUUAGUUGUGCUAUGCUUUGCUUAGUGCAGCUCUGGUUUUGGGCCACUUUCAUAAUCCCGCCGCGGUGCUCUUAAUCGAGUGUCGAGGCGGGCCGGCACGUUUACUUUGAACAAAUUAGAGUGCUUCAAGCAGGCUUGUCACGCCUGUAUACUGUGUGCAUGGAAUAAUGGAAUAGGACCUCGGUUCUAUUUUGUUGGUUUCCGGAAUCUGAGGUAAUGAUCAAUGGGGACAGGCGGGGGCAUUCGUAUUGCGACGUUAGAGGUGAAAUUCUUGGAUCGUCGCAAGACGGACCGAAGCGAAAGCAUUUGCCAAGUAUGUUCCCGUCGAUCAAGAACGAAAGUUAGAGGUUCGAAGGCGAUCAGAUACCGCCCUAGUUCUAACCAUAAACAAUGCCUGCCAGCGAUCCGCCGGCGUCCCUCCGAUGACCCGGCGGGCAGCUUCCGGGAAACCAGAGCUUUUGGGUUCCGGGGGAAGUAUGGUUGCAAAGCUGAAACUUAAAGGAAUUGACGGAAGGGCACCACCAGGAGUGGAGCCUGCGGCUUAAUUUGACUCAACACGGGAAAACUCACCAGGCCCGGACACCGGAAGGAUUGACAGAUUGAUAGCUCUUUCUUGAUUCGGUGGGUGGUGGUGCAUGGCCGUUCUUAGUUGGUGGAGCGAUUUGUCUGGUUAAUUCCGAUAACGAACGAGACUCUAGCCUACUAACUAGACGUAUCUGGUAUCAGCAAUCGUGCUACCAGCGAUCAUAUCUCUUCUUAGAGGGACAGGCGGCUUCUAGCCGCACGAGACUGAGCAAUAACAGGUCUGUGAUGCCCUUAGAUGUCCUGGGCCGCACGCGCGCUACACUGAAGGAAUCAGCGUGUCUUCCCUGUCCGAAAGGACCGGGUAACCCGCUGAACCUCCUUCGUGCUUGGGAUUGGGGCUUGCAAUUGUUCCCCAUGAACGAGGAAUUCCCAGUAAGCGCGAGUCAUAAGCUCGCGUUGAUUACGUCCCUGCCCUUUGUACACACCGCCCGUCGCUACUACCGAUUGAAUGAUUUAGUGAGGUCUUCGGACCGGUGCGCGGAGGCGGUUUUCCGCUCCCGAUGUUGUCGGAAAGAUGACCAAACUUGAUCAUU